UACGUAGGGUGCGAGCGUUGUCCGGAAUUAUUGGGCGUAAAGAGCUUGUAGGCGGUUUGUCGCGUCUGCUGUGAAAAUCCGGGGCUCAACCCCGGACUUGCAGUGGGUACGGGCAGACUAGAGUGUGGUAGGGGAGACUGGAAUUCCUGGUGUAGCGGUGAAAUGCGCAGAUAUCAGGAGGAACACCGGUGGCGAAGGCGGUUCUCUGGGGCAUUACCUGACGCUGAGGAGCGAAAGCAUGGGGAGCGAACAGG
Molecule: ribosomal RNA, 254 nt
Filed under: uncultured bacterium
Lineage: Bacteria
Description: partial 16S ribosomal RNA
Rfam family: Bacterial small subunit ribosomal RNA
Source: RNAcentral